GUGGGCUACGGGGACAUGUGCCCGGUCACCAUUGGGGGGAAGAUCGUGGGCUCUUUGUGCGCUAUCGCCGGCGUGCUGACCAUCGCGCUGCCGGUGCCCGUCAUCGUGUCCAAC
Non-coding RNA from Oreochromis niloticus (Nile tilapia), 114 nucleotides. The record is from Rfam. Lineage: Eukaryota; Metazoa; Chordata; Actinopteri; Cichliformes; Cichlidae.